CCUACGGGAGGCUGCAGUGAGGAAUAUUGGUCAAUGGAGGAAACUCUGAACCAGCCAUGCCGCGUGGAGGAUGAAGGUCCUCUGGAUUGUAAACUCCUUUUAUAAAAGAAGAAACCCCAGUAUUCUUACUGGGUUGACGGUACUUUAUGAAUAAGCACCGGCUAACUCCGUGCCAGCAGCCGCGGUAAUACGGAGGGUGCAAGCGUUAUCCGGAUUCACUGGGUUUAAAGGGAGCGUAGGUGGGUUGGUAAGUCAGUGGUGAAAUCUCCGAGCUU
Molecule: ribosomal RNA, 275 nt
Filed under: uncultured bacterium
Lineage: Bacteria
Description: partial 16S ribosomal RNA
Rfam family: Bacterial small subunit ribosomal RNA
Source: RNAcentral